AGAGUUUGAUCAUGGCUCAGGACGAACGCUGGCGGCGUGCCUAAUACAUGCAAGUCGAACGGUAACAGGAAGCAGCUUGCUGCUUCGCUGACGAGUGGCGGACGGGUGAGUAAUGUCUGGGAAACUGCCUGAUGGAGGGGGAUAACUACUGGAAACGGUAGCUAAUACCGCAUAACGUCGCAAGACCAAAGAGGGGGACCUUCGGGCCUCUUGCCAUCGGAUGUGCCCAGAUGGGAUUAGCUAGUAGGUGGGGUAACGGCUCACCUAGGCGACGAUCCCUAGCUGGUCUGAGAGGAUGACCAGCCACACUGGAACUGAGACACGGUCCAGACUCCUACGGGAGGCAGCAGUGGGGAAUAUUGCACAAUGGGCGCAAGCCUGAUGCAGCCAUGCCGCGUGUAUGAAGAAGGCCUUCGGGUUGUAAAGUACUUUCAGCGGGGAGGAAGGUGUUGAGGUUAAUAACCUCAGCAAUUGACGUUACCCGCAGAAGAAGCACCGGCUAACUCCGUGCCAGCAGCCGCGGUAAUAC
RNAcentral lists this ribosomal RNA (529 nucleotides) under uncultured bacterium. Its description in RNAcentral is "bacterial SSU rRNA". It matches the Rfam family "Bacterial small subunit ribosomal RNA", at positions 8 to 526 of the family's 1533-position model. The record is from RNAcentral.